UACGUAGGGGGCAAGCGUUGUCCGGAUUUAUUGGGCGUAAAGAGCUCGUAGGCGGUUCCGUAAGUCGAGUGUGAAAAAUCUGGGCUCAACCCAGUGGAGCACUCGAUACUGCGGUGACUGGAGUACGGUAGAGGAGUGUGGAAUUUGUGGUGUAGCGGUGAAAUGCGCAGAUAUCAGGAAGAACACCCGUGGCUAAGGCGGCUCUCUAGUACGGUACUGACGCUGAUGCACGAAAGCUAGGGGAGCAAACAGG
RNAcentral lists this ribosomal RNA (253 nucleotides) under uncultured bacterium. Its description in RNAcentral is "partial 16S ribosomal RNA". It matches the Rfam family "Bacterial small subunit ribosomal RNA", at positions 524 to 776 of the family's 1533-position model. The record is from RNAcentral.